This 301-nucleotide ribosomal RNA is filed under the name uncultured bacterium. Its description in RNAcentral is "partial 16S ribosomal RNA". It matches the Rfam family "Bacterial small subunit ribosomal RNA", at positions 509 to 807 of the family's 1533-position model. The record is from RNAcentral.
CAGUAGCCGCGGUAAUACGAAGGGGGCUAGCGUUGCUCGGAAUGACUGGGCGUAAAGGGCGCGUAGGCAGAUUGCGCAGUCAGAUGUGAAAUUCCUGGGCUUAACCUGGGGGCUGCAUUUGAGACGCGUAGUCUAGAGUGUGAAAGAGGGUCGUGGAAUUCCCAGUGUAGAGGUGAAAUUCGUAGAUAUUGGGAAGAACACCGGUGGCGAAGGCGGCGACCUGGUUCAUAACUGACGCUGAGGCGCGAGAGCGUGGGGAGCAAACAGGAUUAGAUACCCCCGUAGUCCCUGUCUCUUAUAC